UUUAUGUAUGUAUAUGUAUAUGUAUGUAUGUAUAUGAAUGUCAAACUCCUAAUAUAAGUACAGUCAAUUAUAUACAACAACAUCAAUUCAAUGCUACAACACACACAAUGUCUAUAUACAGUAUAACACAUAACUAGAGCAAGUCUCCAGCCCCAUACUUAAAAUCAUGGAAUGUCCCCAUGUCAUAUCAAGAAAGUAAAGAGCAGAAGAGUAAGAAAGCUUCCCUGAGACUCAAUCAGAGUCUGAUACGGUGCUGGGGUCUACAUGGCACGCUCUCCCCAAAGAAUGGAACCAGGACAUGAACCUUCUCUCAGACCUGGCCUGCCUCUGAGACAUGACAUCCAUGCGCGUGUGUAGGCCAUCCACCGAGGUGCGAAGAUCCGCGACCUCUUCCUCCAUGGAGCUCAGCAUAGGCUGGGUGGUCUGUGAUCUGAAUAGGCCUUCCCCGGUAUGGGGGCGCUGAGAGG
RNAcentral lists this long non-coding RNA (467 nucleotides) under Nicotiana benthamiana. RNAcentral's name for it is "long non-coding RNA (NBEN_LNC012063)". The record is from RNAcentral. Lineage: Eukaryota; Viridiplantae; Streptophyta; Magnoliopsida; Solanales; Solanaceae.